RNAcentral lists this ribosomal RNA (1053 nucleotides) under uncultured bacterium. Its description in RNAcentral is "bacterial SSU rRNA". It matches the Rfam family "Bacterial small subunit ribosomal RNA", at positions 8 to 1070 of the family's 1533-position model. The record is from RNAcentral.
AGAGUUUGAUCCUGGCUCAGGACGAACGCUGGCGGCGCGCCUAAUGCAUGCAAGUCGAGCGACGCAUUCCUUAGCCCGUAAGGGCGGGUUUGWCGGAGCGGCGAACGGKUGCGKAACACGUGACCAAUCUACCCCGAASACCGGGAUAGCCCGGGGAAACCCGGAUUAAUACCGGAUAACCUCACCGCAACACAUGUUGGGGUGAGGAAAUGUUCAGGCGCUUCGGGAUGAGGUCGCGGYCCAUCAGCUUGUUGGUGAGGUAACGGCUCACCAAGGCCACGACGGGUAKCUGGUCUGAGAGGACGAUCAGCCACACUGGAACUGAGAUACGGUCCAGACUCCUACGGGAGGCAGCAGCAGGGAAUCUUGCGCAGUGGGCGAAAGCCUGACGCAGCGACGCCGCGUGGGGGAUGAAGGCCUUAGGGUUGUAAACCCCUUUCACGAGGGAAGAAAAUGACGGUACCUCGAAAAGAAGCCCCGGCUAACUACGUGCCAGCAGCCGCGGUAAUACGUAGGGGGCGAGCGUUGUCCGGAUUUAUUGGGCGUAAAGGGCUCGUAGGCGGCCUGACAAGUCGGCCGUGAAAACCCAGGGCUCAACCCUGGGACGCCGGUCGAUACUGUCAUGGCUAGGGUCCGGUAGAGGGGAAUGGAAUUCCCGGUGUAGCGGUGAAAUGCGCAGAUAUCGGGAGGAACACCAGUAGCGAAGGCGGUUCCCUGGGCCGGCACCGACGCUGAGGAGCGAAAGCGUGGGUAGCAAACAGGAUUAGAUACCCUGGUAGUCCACGCCGUAAACGUGGGUACUAGGCGUGGCGUCUUAUCCACGGAUGCCGUGCUCGAAGCUAACGCGUUAAGUACCCCGCCUGGGGAGUAGGGCCGCAAGGCUARAAACUCAAGGAAUUGACGGGAGCCCGCACAAGCGGCGGAGCAUGCGGCUUAAUUCGAUGCAACCCGGAGAACCUUACCUGGCUUGACAUCGCGGGAAAAAGCCUGGAGACAGGAUGUGCGAGAGCGUCCGUGACAGGUGGUGCAUGGUGUCGUCAGCUCGUGUCGUGA